GUGGAUUAGAUACCCGGGUAGUCCACGCCGUAAACGUUGGGCACUAGGUGUGGGAGGCUGUCAACGCCUUCCGUGCCGUAGCUAACGCAUUAAGUGCCCCGCCUGGGGAGUACGGCCGCAAGGCUAAAACUCAAAGGAAUUGACGGGGGCCCGCACAAGCGGCGGAGCAUGUUGCUUAAUUCGAUGCAACGCGAAGAACCUUACCUGGGUUUGACAUGUAGGGAAAAGCCAUAGAGAUAUGGUGUCCUUCGGGGCCCUACACAGGUGGUGCACGGUCGUCGACAACU
This 287-nucleotide ribosomal RNA is filed under the name uncultured bacterium. Its description in RNAcentral is "partial 16S ribosomal RNA". It matches the Rfam family "Bacterial small subunit ribosomal RNA", at positions 773 to 1060 of the family's 1533-position model. The record is from RNAcentral.